ACGGAGAGUUUGAUCCUGGCUCAGGGUUAACGCUGGCGGUGCGCAUAACACAUGCAAGUCGAGCGAGGGCUCAUUUCCCGCAAGGGAGAUGAGUUCCUAGCGGCGAACGGGUGAGUAACACGUGGGCAACCUUUCCUAUCGCGGGGGAUAACAGCG
RNAcentral lists this ribosomal RNA (156 nucleotides) under Chloroflexota bacterium. RNAcentral's name for it is "Chloroflexi bacterium partial 16S ribosomal RNA". It matches the Rfam family "Bacterial small subunit ribosomal RNA", at positions 1 to 151 of the family's 1533-position model. The record is from RNAcentral. Lineage: Bacteria; Bacillati; Chloroflexota.